AUUGAACGCUGGCGGCAGGCUUAACACAUGCAAGUCGAGCGGAGAUGAGGUGCUUGCACCUUAUCUUAGCGGCGGACGGGCGAGUAAUGCUUAGGAAUCUGCCUAUUAGUGGGGGACAACAUUCCGAAAGGAAUGCUAAUACCGCAUACGUCCUACGGGAGAAAGCAGGGGAUCUUCGGACCUUGCGCUAAUAGAUGAGCCUAAGUCGGAUUAGCUAGUGGGUGGGGUAAAGGCCUACCAAGGCGACGAUCUGUAGCGGGUCUGAGAGGAGGAUCCGCCACACUGGGAAUGAGAAACGGCCCAGACUCCUACGGGAGGCAGCAGUGGGGAAUAUUGGACAAUGGGGGGAACCCUGAUCCAGCCAUGCCGCGUGUGUGAAGAAGGCCUUAUGGUUGUAAAGCACUUUAAGCGAGGAGGAGGCUACUGAGACUAAUACUCUUGGAUAGUGGACGUUACUCGCAGAAUAAGCACCGGCUAACUCUGUGCCAGCAGCCGCCGUAA
Molecule: ribosomal RNA, 501 nt
Filed under: uncultured bacterium
Lineage: Bacteria
Description: partial 16S ribosomal RNA
Rfam family: Bacterial small subunit ribosomal RNA
Source: RNAcentral